UUUUAAACCAUUUAAUUUCGAGAGUUUGGAGACCCUCACUUCGUGUGUGUGUGUUUUGCAGUCUCCCAUCAUGACCUGGACUAAAGGGGGCUGCUAACAGUAUUUGGCAUUCCCGAGUGAGCACCUUUGGUGACACCUUCAAAUGCUCAGUAUAUCUGUAUGAAAAACACUCUUGCUUUAUUUGCAUGAUUUUUUCCGUUGUAAGUUGUCUUAAUAGAGUUUUCUGUGAUAGGAAUAUGGAAAUAGACAUGUUAUGAUUCAAAAGCUGUCAUCUUUUGUGGUCUAAGUUUUUGUUGACUGCAUUUUCUUUCAGGAAAUUACACUUAAGCCAUCUUUCAUAAUUCCCUUGGAGUCUGUGCUGCUUGACCACAUUAUAACAAGAUGCUUUUGAUCCUUUGAUAAUUAAAUGCUCUACUGAAUGGUGAGAGAGACGGAUCUGCCUUGUAUUAAAUUCUCCUCUAAGGAGAAAGGAGGUUAAUGACACCUCCAGAUAGUAAUAGGUAGUAUUACUAUAAGAUAAUGAGCAAAUUGCCACAGGCUGGGCCUGGUAUCUUUAUACCAUGAAUAUAAAAUAGCAUUUUAUCUUUUUACCAUGAAUGAGUAAAGCACAUCAUGGUUCAAAUUUUGCUUUCAGAAGGAAUGCAGGCAUCUGUAAUUCUGUGAGCCAACUGUAUUAAGUGGUUAAUUUGUAGCUAUUAGCUCCAUUUGCCAUAUAGAUUUCACUGUAAAAAUAGUAUUCUAUGAAAGCCUAAAUUCAAGCCUAUAGACAUCUACCUGAUUGCUGGGACCAGAACUGGCACACCUUCUCAAAAGCUGCAGCCUCUUAGAGGUCCUUGGGAGGAGGACAGUGUGAUGGUCAGUUUCAUGUAUAAACUUGGCAGGUUGUAGUCUCCAGUUAUUUAGUCAAACACUAAUCUAGGUGCUGCUGUGAAUUUGUAAAUGUGGUUAACAUCUAAACUCAGUUGACUUUAAGUAAAGAAGAUUACCCUCAAUAAUAGCGGUGGGGCCGCAUCCAGUCAGUUGAAAGCUUUAAGAGCAAAAACUGGUUUCCCAGAGAAGAAAUUCUGCCUCAAGACUGUAACUUCAAGUCCUGCCUGAGUUUUCGGCCUGCCCUACAAAUUUGGACUUGUCAGCUCCCACAAUCAUUUCUCUCUGUUUGCAUCCUGUUCAUCUGCUGGCAUUCCUUCAGGCUCCUUACGCCGACAUAGUCUGUCCUGUAUUGAACAGUGUCCUCCAAGAGGAAUGUUGAAGUCCUCAGCCCUGGUAGCUGUGAUGUGAUCUCACAUGGGAAUUGGGUCUUAGUAGAUGUAAUCGAAUUAAGAUGAGGUUAUUAGGGUGGAUCCUAAUCUGACCGGUGGUCUUACAAGAAAAGGAAAGCACCAUGUAAAGAUUCACACAGAGACAAGAUAGCCAUGUGACAACGGAGAGAGAAGUUGGAGUGAUGCAUCUUCAAAUCCAGGAACGCUAAGGAUUGAUGGCAAAUACCAGAAGCUAGAAGAGGAAGAGGCAAGGAAGGAUUCUCCUCUACAGAUUUUAGAGAGAACAUGGCCCUGACAACUGCUCGAUUUCAGACUUCUAGCCUCCAGAACUACGAGAUAAUAAAUUUUUGUUUUAUUAAGCCACCUAGUUUGUGGUACUUUGUCACAGCAGCCCUAGGAAAUUAAGAACAGGUCCCACAGGACGGCCUGAAAAUCAAAGUGCUUUUAGUAUGUUCUCUAUUGGAAGUUGCUUCCUCCAGCUAAUAACAUCUAGACUCAUGUGUGAGCG
This 1767-nucleotide long non-coding RNA is filed under the name Homo sapiens (human). Its description in RNAcentral is "HSALNT0211748". Lineage: Eukaryota; Metazoa; Chordata; Mammalia; Primates; Hominidae. The record is from RNAcentral.